CCGCUGUCACCGUCACCGUUCCUGGGAUUGUUGCUGUCACCGCUGUCACCGUCUCUGGGAUUGUCACCGUUUCCAGGCUUGUCGCUGUCACCGUCACCGGGGCUGUCACCGUCAUUGCUGUCACCGACACCGGGAUUGUCACCGACACCGGGACUGUCACCAUCACCGCUGUCACUGUCACCACUGCCCUGGGAUUGUUAUUGACACCGGGAUUGUCACCAUCACUGCUGUCACCGACACCUGGAUUAUCAGUGACACCAGCACUGUCACCAUCACCGCUGUCACCGACACCGGGAUUGUCACCAUCACCGCUGUCACUGACACCCGGAUUAUCAGUGACACCAGCACUGUCACUGUCACCGCUGUCACCGUCACUGGGGCUGUCACUGUCGCUGGGAUUGUCACCGCUGCUGGGUUUGUCACCAUCACUGGGAUUGUCACUGUCACCAUCACUGGGUUUGUCACAUUGCUGAGUUUGUCACCAUCACUGCUGUCACUGUCACCGGGAUUGUCACUGUUCCUGGGAUUGUCACCGUCACCGCUGUCACCGUCACUGGGGCUGUCACCAUUACUGGGAUUGUCACCGUUAUCACCUUCACCAUUACCGGGAUUGUCACCAUUUCUGAGGUUGUCACCAUUAUUGCGUCACCAUCACUAAGACUGUCACCAUUACUGGGAUUGUCACCAUUACUGGGACUGUCACCGUUAUUGUGUCACCAUUACUGAGACUGUCACCAUUACCACUGUCACCGUCACUGGGAUUGUCACCAUUACUGGGACUGUCACCAUUAUCACCUUCACCGUCACUGGGAUUGUCACCAUUAUUGUGCCACCGUUACUGGGAUUGUCACCAUUACUGAGACUCUCACCAUUAUCACCUUCACCGUUACUGGGAUUGUCACCAUUAUUGUGUCACCAUUACUGGGACUGUCACCAUUACUGGGACUGUCACCAUUACUGGGACUGUCACCAUUAUUGCCUUCACCAUUACUGGGAUUGUCACCAUUAUUGUGUCACCGUUACUGGGAUUGUCACCAUUACUGGGACUCUCACCAUUAUCACCUUCACCGUCACUGGGAUUGUCACCAUUAUUGUGUCACCAUUACUGGGACUGUCACCGUUACCACCAUCACCGUUUCUGGGAUUGUCACCAUUAUUGUGUCACCAUUAGUGAGGCUCUCACCGUUACCACUGUCACCAUUACUGGGACUGUCACCAUUAUCACCAUCACCAUUAGUGGGAUUGUCACCAUUACUGGGACCAUCCCCAUCCCCGUGCAGAGCAGCAGGAGAGGUGUGGUGAGUGUGAGUGUGGGGGUCACGUUGGUGGUGGGUGUGCAACAGGUGUGAGCACGGCGUCGUGCAACACGGGGGGGGUGGUGGGGCAUGGGUGCAAGGCAGGGGUGCGCACAUGGUUGCUCACGUGUAGGUGCAAUGCACACUCUUGUGGACAUGCCUUGCACACACAAUGCACAC
This 1475-nucleotide long non-coding RNA is filed under the name Numida meleagris (helmeted guineafowl). Its description in RNAcentral is "lncRNA (ENSNMEG00000002708.1)". Lineage: Eukaryota; Metazoa; Chordata; Aves; Galliformes; Numididae. The record is from RNAcentral.